Cervus hanglu yarkandensis (Yarkand deer) is the source of this 62-nucleotide small nuclear RNA. Lineage: Eukaryota; Metazoa; Chordata; Mammalia; Artiodactyla; Cervidae. The record is from Ensembl.
UAAGAUUAGCGUGGCCCCUGCACAAGGCUGACACACAAAUUCAUGAAGCAGUCCAUAUUUUU